RNAcentral lists this ribosomal RNA (427 nucleotides) under uncultured bacterium. RNAcentral's name for it is "partial 16S ribosomal RNA". It matches the Rfam family "Bacterial small subunit ribosomal RNA", at positions 355 to 774 of the family's 1533-position model. The record is from RNAcentral.
UGGGGAAUAUUGCACAAUGGGCGCAAGCCUGAUGCAGCCAUGCCGCGUGUAUGAAGAAGGCCUUCGGGUUGUAAAGUACUUUCAGCGGGGAGGAAGGUGUUGAGGUUAAUAACCUCAGCAAUUGACGUUACCCGCAGAAGAAGCACCGGCUAACUCCGUGCCAGCAGCCGCGGUAAUACGGAGGGUGCAAGCGUUAAUCGGAAUUACUGGGCGUAAAGCGCACGCAGGCGGUCUGUCAAGUCGGAUGUGAAAUCCCCGGGCUCAACCUGGGAACUGCAUUCGAAACUGGCAGGCUAGAGUCUUGUAGAGGGUGGUGGAAUUUCCUGUGUAGCGGUGAAAUGCGUAGAGAUCUGGAGGAAUACCGGUGGCGAAGGCGGCCCCCUGGACAAAGACUGACGCUCAGGUGCGAAAGCGUGGGGAGCAAACA